CUAUCCUAUGUUACCAGCGGGUAAUGCCGGGGACUCAUGGGAGACUGCCAGGGACAACCUGGAGGAAGGCGGGGAUGACGUCAAGUCAUCAUGCCCCUUAUGUCUUGGGCUACACACGUACUACAAUGGUCGGCAACAAAGGGCAGCGAAACCGCGAGGUGGAGCAAAUCCCAGAAACCCGGCCUCAGUUCGGAUUGCAGGCUGCAACUCGCCUGCAUGAAGUCGGAAUCGCUAGUAAUCGCAGGUCAGCAUACUGCGGUGAAUACGUUCCCGGGCCUUGUACACACCGCCCGUCACACCACGAAAGUUGGUAA
Molecule: ribosomal RNA, 314 nt
Filed under: uncultured bacterium
Lineage: Bacteria
Description: bacterial SSU rRNA
Rfam family: Bacterial small subunit ribosomal RNA
Source: RNAcentral